CCUACGGGUGGCAGCAGUGAGGAAUAUUGGUCAAUGGUCGGGAGACUGAACCAGCCAAGCCGCGUGAGGGAUGAAGGUACAGAGUAUCGUAAACCUCUUUUGUCAGGGAACAAAGGCGGGGACGCGUCCCCGGAUGAGUGUACCUGAAGAAAAAGCAUCGGCCAACUCCGUGCCAGCAGCCGCGGUAAUACGGAGGAUGCGAGCGUUAUCAGGAGUUAUGGGGUUAAAGGGGGGCGCAGGCGGUUUGUGAAGUCAGCGGUCAAAGCCCGGGGCUCAACCCCGGCCCGCCGUUGAAACUGGCAGUCUCGAGUUGGAGAGAAGUAUGCGGAAUGCGCGGUGUAGCGGU
This 346-nucleotide ribosomal RNA is filed under the name uncultured bacterium. Its description in RNAcentral is "partial 16S ribosomal RNA". It matches the Rfam family "Bacterial small subunit ribosomal RNA", at positions 338 to 682 of the family's 1533-position model. The record is from RNAcentral.